GACGUAGGUGGCGAACGUUAUCCGGAAUUAUUGGGCGUAAAGGGUGCGUAGGCGGCAUAAUAAGUUAUUGGCGGGAAAUCGAGGCUCAACCUCGUGGAAACUGAUAAUACUGUUUUGCUUGAGUACAGGAGAGGUUAACGGAACUCCAUGUGGAGCGGUAAAAUGUGUAGAUAUAUGGAAGAACAUCAAUAACGGGCGAAGGCAGU
This 206-nucleotide ribosomal RNA is filed under the name uncultured bacterium. RNAcentral's name for it is "partial 16S ribosomal RNA". It matches the Rfam family "Bacterial small subunit ribosomal RNA", at positions 524 to 725 of the family's 1533-position model. The record is from RNAcentral.